This is a long non-coding RNA of Physella acuta, 235 nucleotides long. RefSeq lists it as uncharacterized. The record is from RefSeq and is a predicted model, not a curated record. NCBI's taxonomy places the organism in Eukaryota, Metazoa, Mollusca, Gastropoda, Physidae.
AACUAGCUGUUGUGGUGGCACUAAUCAUGAAUGCUUGCAACCAGGGUAUUGCUGCAUUGACCAUUACUGCUUGGUGUCAAGUAAAAAAGAUGCUUCGCCUACUUGCCAAAAACGAUUUCCAUGGUUACAUCGUGAAUAAGAGAGGCAACAAAAAAGUAUGCAAGAAUUUACCUGGUGAAAGGUAAAUGAAUGAUAAGAAGACAUCCAGUUCAAAAUAAAAAAAUUUAAUAGACAA